This 997-nucleotide ribosomal RNA is filed under the name human gut metagenome. Its description in RNAcentral is "bacterial LSU rRNA". It matches the Rfam family "Bacterial large subunit ribosomal RNA", at positions 1934 to 2925 of the family's 2925-position model. The record is from RNAcentral.
CCGUAACUAUAACGGUCCUAAGGUAGCGAAAUUCCUUGUCGGGUAAGUUCCGACCUGCACGAAUGGCGUAAUGAUGGCCAGGCUGUCUCCACCCGAGACUCAGUGAAAUUGAACUCGCUGUGAAGAUGCAGUGUACCCGCGGCAAGACGGAAAGACCCCGUGAACCUUUACUAUAGCUUGACACUGAACACUGGUCCUUGAUGUGUAGGAUAGGUGGGAGGCUUUGAAGCGUGGACGCCAGUCUGCGUGGAGCCAACCUUGAAAUACCACCCUUUAAUGGCUGGUGUUCUAACGUAGACCCGUAAUCCGGGUUGCGGACAGUGUCUGGUGGGUAGUUUGACUGGGGCGGUCUCCUCCCAAAGAGUAACGGAGGAGCACGAAGGUUAGCUAAUCCUGGUCGGACAUCAGGAGGUUAGUGCAAUGGCAUAAGCUAGCUUGACUGCGAGAGUGACGGCUCGAGCAGGUGCGAAAGCAGGUCAUAGUGAUCCGGUGGUUCUGAAUGGAAGGGCCAUCGCUCAACGGAUAAAAGGUACUCCGGGGAUAACAGGCUGAUACCGCCCAAGAGUUCAUAUCGACGGCGGUGUUUGGCACCUCGAUGUCGGCUCAUCACAUCCUGGGGCUGAAGUAGGUCCCAAGGGUAUGGCUGUUCGCCAUUUAAAGUGGUACGCGAGCUGGGUUUAGAACGUCGUGAGACAGUUCGGUCCCUAUCUGCCGUGGGCGCUGGAGAAUUGAGGGGGGCUGCUCCUAGUACGAGAGGACCGGAGUGGACGCAUCACUGGUGUUCGGGUUGUCAUGCCAAUGGCACUGCCCGGUAGCUAAAUGCGGAAGAGAUAAGUGCUGAAAGCAUCUAAGCACGAAACUUGCCCCGAGAUGAGUUCUCCCUGAGACUUUAAGUCUCCUGAAGGAACGUUGAAGACUACGACGUUGAUAGGUCGGGUGUGUAAGCGCAGCGAUGCGUUGAGCUAACCGAUACUAAUGAACCGUGAGGCUUAACCUU